This 836-nucleotide ribosomal RNA is filed under the name uncultured fungus. Its description in RNAcentral is "eukaryotic LSU rRNA". It matches the Rfam family "Eukaryotic large subunit ribosomal RNA", at positions 24 to 664 of the family's 3401-position model. The record is from RNAcentral. Lineage: Eukaryota; Fungi.
CCCGCUGAACUUAAGCAUAUUAAUAAGCGGAGGAAAAGAAACCAACUGGGAUUUCCACAGUAACUGCGAGUGAAGUGGAAAAAGCUCAAGCUUAAAAUCUGGAGCAGUCUAUGCUUCCGAAUUGUAGUUUCGUGAACGGCUUCACGGGCAGGCUGCUAUAGUAUAAGUCCCCUGGAACGGGGCGCCAAAGAGGGUGAUAGCCCCGUGUACGACUAUAGAGUCCCGGCCUGUCAAUACGUGCUGCUAGUUCAAAGAGUCAGGUUGUUUGGGAGUACAGCCUAAAGUGGGAGGUAAAUUCCUUCUAAAGCUAAAUAAUGGCGAGAGACCGAUAGCGAACAAGUACCGUGAGGGAAAGAUGCAAAGAACUUUGAAAAGAGAGUUAAAAGUGCUUGAAAUUGUUAAAAGGGAAGCGAUUGGAGGCAGUACAUGUCUGCCGUCGACUCAUUCAUCAGUUUAGGAUUAAGAUGGUAUUAUGAGUGAUCCUUCGUGGUUACCACAGUAUUGUUUUGGUUUUGAAUUAAUGGAGCAUUUCGGCGGUAGAUGAGUCAACAUCAGUGAGAGAAGGGGGAGAAUGACUUUAGGGAGGUGAUACCUGCUAAUCUUCGGGUUGGUUUUGGUGUGUUAAACCUAGAGUAGAUACCCUUUCUAUUUUCACUGAGGCAUCCUUACGGGUGAUAACUGGCGCCUUUUUGGCGGAGUAAGGGUGGUUCUGAGUGUUAUUAACGAGGAGGACAGCUUGCUGUGCUUUUUGAUUAGUAAUGCUUACCUACUAUCUACUGCCAUGCCAGUUAGUGAUGUUGACCGAAUGUUUCUAACCGUCCCGUCUUGAAACACGG